UUAACCUGGCCUUGACAUACUAAGAACUUUCCAGAGAUGGAUUGGUGCCUUCGGGAACUUAGAUACAGGUGCUGCAUGGCUGUCGUCAGCUCGUGUCGUGAGAUGUUGGGUUAAGUCCCGCAACGAGCGCAACCCUUUUCCUUAUUGCCAGCGGGUAAUGCCGGGAACUUUAAGGAUACUGCCAGUGACAAACUGGAGGAAGGCGGGGACGACGUCAAGUCAUCAUGGCCCUUACGGCCAGGGCUACACACGUGCUACAAUGGUCGGUACAAAGGGUUGCUACCUCGCGAGAGGAUGCUAAUCUCAAAAAGCCGAUCGUAGUCCGGAUCGCAGUCUGCAACUCGACUGCGUGAAGUCGGAAUCGCUAGUAAUCGCGGAUCAGAAUGCCGCGGUGAAUACGUUCCCGGGCCUUGUACACACCGCCCGUCACACCAUGGGAGUUUGUUGCACCAGAAGUAGGUAGUCUAACCGCAAGGAGGACGCUUACCACGGUGUGGCCGAUGACUGGGGUGAAGUCGUAACAAGGUAGGCGUACUACA
This 539-nucleotide ribosomal RNA is filed under the name uncultured bacterium. RNAcentral describes it as "bacterial SSU rRNA". It matches the Rfam family "Bacterial small subunit ribosomal RNA", at positions 970 to 1509 of the family's 1533-position model. The record is from RNAcentral.